UACGUAGGUGGCAAGCGUUGUCCGGAAUUAUUGGGCGUAAAGCGCGCGCAGGCGGUCCUUUAAGUCUGCUGUGAAAUCUCGCGGCUCAACCGCGAGCGGUCAUUGGAAACUGGGGGACUUGAGUGCAGAAGAGGAAAGUGGAAUUCCACGUGUAGCGGUGAAAUGCGUAGAGAUGUGGAGGAACACCAGUGGCGAAGGCGACUUUCUGGUCUGUAACUGACGCUGAGGCGCGAAAGCGUGGGGAGCAAACAGG
This 253-nucleotide ribosomal RNA is filed under the name uncultured bacterium. RNAcentral's name for it is "partial 16S ribosomal RNA". It matches the Rfam family "Bacterial small subunit ribosomal RNA", at positions 524 to 776 of the family's 1533-position model. The record is from RNAcentral.